RNAcentral lists this ribosomal RNA (253 nucleotides) under uncultured bacterium. Its description in RNAcentral is "partial 16S ribosomal RNA". It matches the Rfam family "Bacterial small subunit ribosomal RNA", at positions 333 to 601 of the family's 1533-position model. The record is from RNAcentral.
AUCAGCCUACGGGGGGCAGCAGUGGCGAAUAUUGGGCAAUGGGCGCAAGCCUGACCCAGCAACGCCGCGUGAAGGAAGAAGGCUUUCGGGUUGUAAACUUCUUUUCUCAGGGACGAAUAGAUGACGGUACCUGAGGAAUAAGCCACGGCUAACUACGUGCCAGCAGCCGCGGUAAUACGUAGGUGGCAAGCGUUAUCCGGAUUUACUGGGUGUAAAGGGCGUGUAGGCGGGGACGCAAGUCAGAUGUGAAAAC